GAUCCUGGCUCAGAUUGAACGCUGGCGGCAGGCCUAACACGUGCAAGUCGAACGGUAGCACAGAGGAGCUUGCUCCUUGGGUGACGAGUGGCGGACGGGUGAGUAAUGUCUGGGAAACUGCCCGAUGGAGGGGGAUAACUACUGGAAACGGUAGCUAAUACCGCAUAACGUCGCAAGACCAAAGAGGGGGACCUUCGGGCCUCUUGCCAUCGGAUGUGCCCAGAUGGGAUUAGCUAGUAGGUGGGGUAACGG
Molecule: ribosomal RNA, 252 nt
Filed under: uncultured bacterium
Lineage: Bacteria
Description: partial 16S ribosomal RNA
Rfam family: Bacterial small subunit ribosomal RNA
Source: RNAcentral